This 494-nucleotide long non-coding RNA is filed under the name Heterocephalus glaber (naked mole-rat). RNAcentral's name for it is "lncRNA (ENSHGLG00100051529.1)". The record is from RNAcentral. Lineage: Eukaryota; Metazoa; Chordata; Mammalia; Rodentia; Bathyergidae.
GGUGAAGGGUUCGAUCCCCAUUACCACCAAAAAAGCACCUCCUUCUAGUCCUGGGCCCUGCAUCCUAGUUGUCCCCUGUUUGCUCCUGAAGAUGCUGCUUGUUUAAGUAGAUAAAGUGGAGAGCAGCAAAAGAAGAAGCAAUGGAUUAAGAGGGGGCAGGUCCCAAGGAAAUGUCUCGGGCCAGACAGAAAUGCCUCAUGGGGAUGGAGCCUUCGGGAAGGUGAGGGAGAAAGCAAGUUCUUCCCCAGAGCCUCAUGGAGACUGGGAAAGGAAUGUUUCUUCCCCAAGCUUAGCAGGCAGCCUGGCUGGGAGCCAUUUGGCAACAUCCCCAGCAGGAAAGUUGGGGAAGAAGCAACAGUACCACCCCCAAGAUGCUGCAGCAACAGACACAGAGACGGUCUGUCGGCUCCUGCCUGGGGGACCCCCAGCCCAGGUGCAUCCCCAAGAUGGGGAGGAGGAGCCCUCCUGCCUCAGUGACUGAGGAGCAAGCUCAC